AGUGACUUGUAUUUCAUGAUGAGACAUUUCCAUUCCUUAUAUGCAAAUGAACGGGGCGUGGUUAGCUCACAGAUCCAGACCAAAGCAACAGCACCACAACACUGACUCAAUAGCUUUUGUUUCACACUCCAGUACUCUUAAGUGGUUUGCAAACUGCCAAUAAACCAAACCAGUUCAAGAUCCAUUCUUGUGCUUUUCUGGUGCUUAACUGGUUCUUCUCUGGUCUUAUCUGGUCUUAUCUGGGAGCAACCGCUCUGACAGCUCUCUCUAGUCUCUACUGGGAAACAGCUAAAAGUCCUUCUGGAGGCUUUGCAUUUGAACUCCUAUGACUGGUUGCGGACUUGAAGGGAACGACUUCCUGGCCUUCCUGACAUCCAGGAAAAAGUUUUAUUCGACAGAGGCAGUAGAUAUCUAUGGAAACAGUGGAGAGGGAGGAGAUGAUAUGCAGCAAAAGGCCCAGCCGGAUGGUUGCUGCUCCGUGUGGAAUGUGUUCUAUCAGGUGUAACAUCUACCAAUGGUUGUACAUGACAGAGACCUCCUCCACCUCUUUGCUGUCUUACUAGUCAAUCCUUCUGAUCAGGUCCUUUCCUAAAUAGUGAAAGGAUCAUGCCAGCCCACAUCAAACACCUGAUCAAGAACUUGUGAAUCUCACUGCUGCGGACACCUGUGUGAUAUUCCACUCUGACUGGAACCCUGAAAAUGACCUGCAGGCUCAAGCUCGGUGUCAUCGUUUUGGCCAGCCUAAGGUGGUGAAGGUGUACCGUCUGAUCACUAGAAACUAUGAGAGGGAAAUGCUGGAUAAAGCUAGUCUGAAGCUCGGGCUGGACCGUGCCGUCCUGCAGAGCAUGAGUGGGAACAAAGAAGGCAACAACAACGGGCCGGUCCAGCAGUUCUCCAAGAAGGAGAUCGAGGACCUGCUGAGGAAAGGAGCCUACGCCGCCAUCAUGGACGAGAACGACGAAGGCAAUCGCUUCUACUAGGAGGACAUCGACCAGAUCCUGCAGCGAAGAGCCACCAUCAUCACCAUCACCAGUUUGCUUCAAGCAGUGGCUGUACGAGGAAGACGUGGAGGACCAAGAAAUGCUGGCCAGAUUGGCAAAGACCGGAAGAUACAUAACAGAGAAGAUAAUGGAUAUUAACAAGAAAAAGAAAAAAAAUGUUUAUAAUUUCUUUGUUGCUGUUUACAUUUUGAAUUAUAUUUGUUUUUAAAUCAAAUGCAUCUAUUUUAGAUGAUAUAUUUAUUUAGAUGUAGGUUUUUUUUGUAAUAUUAUUGUAUUAAGUAUAAUUUAUUAAAUACAAAUACUGUUAUGAACACUAUACAAUGUCUUUAUCUUGAUAGUUACCAGAAUACAUUGUAUAUUUAAUACUAACAUAAGCUGGUGAUAGAUAAAUGCUGGUCUGCUGGUAUGCCAGCAGACAAAUAUUUAUAAAGAAAGAAACAGAAGGGAGGAAAUGAUGAUAGCUAGACUUAGAAUAAAUCACACAGCAUUGAAUGGUACGCUGCAUGUCAUGGGGAAAAGUAACAGUGACAAGUGUAGGAACUGUGGAGUUAAAGAAAAUGUGGAACAUCUAUAAAGCUGAAAGAGAAAAACUAAAGGAUAACGUUUUAGAGGCAGAGAGGGAAUGGAGUGUGGUUGGUAUUUUGGGAACAAAAGGAGAGGGAGAAAGAGCUACCAGAAAGGCACUGUUUACCUUUAGUGAAACUGGGGUAGGUACAAUUAUCUAACAUUAGGUCAGGAAAGAUCAUAGAUAGUUGUUUUGUUUUAUUUAUUAUGUUUUUUAUUUAUUUAUUUUUGGAUUAGAUCAUAGAUACGUCCAUGAGUUAAGAGAUGGAAUGAUAUGAUGAUUCACACUCAUGUACAGUAGGUGGCGGUAUGCACCUUAAAGUUGUUUGCAAUCCGCCAAAAAACCGAGAGAAGAAGAAGUCAACUGGUUUGCCAACGGACAAUUUACACCGAAGCGAACAUUUCUGGCGGGUGAAAUUUAGAAUAUCAGAUUACAUGCGAUGUCUGACUGAGAAUUUAGAAGUUUGCCUUCUUUUGCAUUCUCCAUUUUCUUCCUCUUCUCGAGUAGUCAGUGUGGUGCUGUUGCUUUGGUCUGGGUCUCUGGAUCUGUGAGCUAACCACGCCCCGUUCAUUUGCAUAUAAGG
Molecule: long non-coding RNA, 2149 nt
Organism: Gymnodraco acuticeps
Lineage: Eukaryota; Metazoa; Chordata; Actinopteri; Perciformes; Bathydraconidae
Exons: 8
Source: RefSeq, a predicted model, not a curated record